AGUCGUAACAAGGUUUCCGUAGGUGAACCUGCGGAAGGAUCAUUACUGAUAGUUUUAGUUUGUUGCCUGCGCUUAAUUGCGCGGCGACAAGCAAACACCUUACACACUGUGUUUUUGUUUUAUUGAAAACUUGCUUUGGUUUGGCGAAAGCUGGGCCAAAGACUUACACAAACUUCAAUUGCGAAAUUGAAUUGUUUUAAAUUUUUAUUGUCAAUUUUGUUUGAUUAAUUUCAAAAUAAUCUUCAAAACUUUCAACAACGGAUCUCUUGGUUCUCGCAUCGAUGAAGAACGCAGCGAAAUGCGAUAAGUAAUAUGAAUUGCAGAUUUUCGUGAAUCAUCGAAUCUUUGAACGCACAUUGCGCCCUUUGGUAUUCCAAAGGGCAUGCCUGUUUGAGCGUCAUUUCUCCUUCAAACCUUUGGGUUUGGUGUUGAGUGAUACUCUUAGUCAACUAAGUGUUUGCUUCAAAUAUAAUGGCAGGAGUGUACUGGAUAGUACGAACUGGUUAUUCAAUGUAUUAGGUUUAUCCAACUCGUUGAAGACUGGGGCAGUAAAUUUCUAGUAAUUGGCUCGGCCUUAUAAUAACAAACUAAGUUUGACCUCAAAUCAGGUAAGAAUACCCGCUGAACUUAAGCAUAUCAAUAGAAGUAAAAGUCG
RNAcentral lists this ribosomal RNA (655 nucleotides) under uncultured fungus. RNAcentral's name for it is "eukaryotic LSU rRNA". The stretch from base 247 to 400 matches the Rfam family "5.8S ribosomal RNA". The record is from RNAcentral. Lineage: Eukaryota; Fungi.